This is a long non-coding RNA of Puntigrus tetrazona (Sumatra barb), 967 nucleotides long. RefSeq lists it as uncharacterized. NCBI's taxonomy places the organism in Eukaryota, Metazoa, Chordata, Actinopteri, Cypriniformes, Cyprinidae. The record is from RefSeq and is a predicted model, not a curated record. The transcript is spliced from 4 exons.
AGCAAAGAGAUGUUAUCAGAUACGGAACUAUCGCGAUCGCAAAACGAGCUAUUUUAAAAGUCUUUAAGCUAGCGUUAUGUGUUAACGCGCUGUGGACGCGUUAAAGCUCCGCGUUUGUUUACAAGCACAGCUCUGACCCCAGCAGGCCCGCGUUGGCCCUAGGUUCUCGUCAGCACGAGGCACGAUCAGGCCCUGCAAGUUACGGUGGAAACGCGACUGGCCCUGGCACGCGCUAGUCCGCGCGCUUUGCGUUCUGGGAGACCGUGUCCCACGCAGUGUCUUCAGAUGUAUACUUCAAAUUUAAACCAACAUAGCAGCUGAGAUUGAUCUCGUGAGAUCAAGCUGCUGUCGUCAGGAUCUCGGGGGCAAUUGCUGUGAGUAGCAGAAAUGCCAUCUACAGGACAUCGUUCAACACCUCAUCCUCACACUAAGAGUGGUGAUGUGCAUUAUUUUUCUGCUUUCAACACUGUGAGUGAUCAGAACUGAACUGUCAAAUCAUACAACUGUUGAUUUUGGAACUGCCUCUGGACUACAGCGAGGAAGAGAAACACUUGUCUACGAGAGCUUCCGUCUGUCACAGAUUCUUCAAAACUCAUUAGCGUAAGAGUCCUCAAUUCAGUGCACAUGUGCGUCGCCCUCAGCGUGAACCUGUUUUUGUGUGGUAUGUCCUCCAGCCUGUGAUUAAUUGGCGGUUCAUUAUUGAGACUGUUUAUUUGGUCCUGGGGACACGGGGGACCGAGGAUUCAGUGACUCGGUACGGUUGCAACAAGGUGAUUAAGCAGAUGUUAUUGGAGGAUUAUGAUGUUCUCCAGUGUCAUUUCUGGAUAACAAUACUCAAUGCAAAUUGAAACGCGUAUUAUAGGCUAAUAUAAAUAUAUAAAUGUCCUGAGGAAAAAUAGGGACCUGAUGAAACAUUUAUAAAAAUAAUAUAGUAAUUUAGACUAAGAGAUAAUAACCAAUAUUUUAC